GGCUAAAUAGUUGUUCUAGUCCAGCCCUCCUCACUAGUAAGUAAUCUAUAGUAGCUAGUUUAGCUAGCUAACAGUUGGUUGCAGAUGUUCCAGAUACAUUUUAUCUCCAUUGUUCCAUUUGUGCCUUUACAUAGGACUUUUUAUUUCGUCUCUCAUUAUUUCCCCACUGAAAGAUAUUGUAGCGAACGGAGGCAAACUCUGGUCGCAGGAGUAAAAGGCAAACACCCAACGCAUCGCGCCAUUUAAACUGGGUUAACCCACUUGUUGGGUAUAAUAAUGUAUAUUAUAAACUGGUUGGUUUGAGCCCUGAAUGCUGAUUGGGCUGUUGGUGGGAGAUGAUCUGUGAAGAAUGGUCUCAACUUCAUGUAUGAAGCUCCACCUGGGGCAGACCAAGGAAGGAGAAUCAGAAUACAAGUUUGAGUGGCAAAAGACGUCCCCUGGAGGGAAGUCCGUCGAUGCACCCCUCCGAGUUAAUGGCAGAGAUGCGAAACAGUGGGUUUGCCCUGAAGAAAUGUGUCCUUGGAAGAAAUUCUACUGUUUGUGAUCCAUCGCAGGAGUACGUUGUCAAUGAAGAAGAGGAGGAUCCUGAGGUUGAAUUCCUGAAGUCGUUGACCACUAAACAGAAAGAGAAGCUCCUCAGGAAACUUGAUCGUCUACAAAAGAAGAGUGAAGGAAAUCAGAAGAAGGACCGUGAUAGUAGUGACAGCUCCAGUGAAAGUAGUAGCAGUGACUGACUGACAGCUCCAGUGAAAGUAGCAGCAGUGACUGACUGACAGCUCCAGUGAAAGUAGCAGCAGUGACUGACUGACAGCUCCAGUGAAAGUAGCAGCAGUGACUGACUGACAGCUCCAGUGAAAGUAGCAGCUGUGACUGACUGACAGCUCCAGUGAAAGUAGCAGCAGUGACUGACUGACAGCUUCAGUGAAAGUAGCAGCAGUGACUAAGAGUCAGAAGAGAAAGAAGAAAGGCAAGAGAAAGGACUCCUGUCGUGAUGACAACACUGAGAGUGAUGGAUGAGUCUAGAGUAAGACCAGGCCCAACCUCCAGACAGAAACAUCACAAAGAUGAUACCAGAGAGGAGAAAGAAACAGUAGAGAUGAGACACGACAGCAGGGAAAGGCAGAGAACCAGCAGCAGCUCCCAGCCUGACCCAGACAGAAGCAGAAGGAGAGGGAUAUAAAGACAAGGUUCCUAGAUGGAGGGAGGGAGAGAGGGGGGAGGCAGAGGGAGGAGCAGGAGCAGAGGGAGGGAGAAUGAGAAAAGAGCCAGAGGGAGAGCUGAGAGAAAGCACUGAACUGUGAGAGUGGACAAUCUUACAAAGUGGGCCAGUGAUACCAUUUUAUUUUACUGAUGUAAACAUUUUUGACACGUUUUGACGAUUUUAUGAUGCUAUUGUUAAUAUGUACAUUUUUCUUGGUGGGCCCACUUAUUAAACAAACACAUAGAAACCAAGUUUUAGUAACACCAUGUUUUGGUGUUGCAUGCUAGUUGGCUGCUACGGUCAAAUGAGUGCAGGGGUGUAUUCAUUAUGCCGAUUAUGUUGCAAAAUGUUGAGCAGAAGCAAACUGAAUGAAACCGGGAGGGGCCUACCUGAAUUUGACCAAUAGAAACUGUUCAAAAUGUUCCAUUUUGCUACUGUUAGGACUAGUGAUUACACCCCUGCUCCUCAAAUAGUUAUUAUUUUCAUCCACUAGAGGGCAGCAGUAGACCUAAAAUAACUUGAACCACAGAAAUAUUUUUCAUUUGUCAGAUUAUUGAACAAAUGCAUGUCUUGCAUGCACUUUUAUUGAUGGUUGUCACUUUAGUCCAGAAAACCCUCUUCAGAAUUCUAAUAAAAAAUAUUAUUUGCAACUCGAAUUUUAAAAAUAGUGAACUGUG
Oncorhynchus mykiss (rainbow trout) is the source of this 1878-nucleotide non-coding RNA. The record is from RefSeq and is a predicted model, not a curated record. Lineage: Eukaryota; Metazoa; Chordata; Actinopteri; Salmoniformes; Salmonidae.